This is a non-coding RNA of Cajanus cajan (pigeon pea), 92 nucleotides long. The record is from RefSeq and is a predicted model, not a curated record. NCBI's taxonomy places the organism in Eukaryota, Viridiplantae, Streptophyta, Magnoliopsida, Fabales, Fabaceae.
GUGCCAACAUUAAUGAGUGGAGCAGGGCAUGAUGCAAUGGCAAUAUCUCACUUAACAAAGGUUGGAAUGCUGUUUGUGCGUUGUCGUGGUGG